GUGGGGAAUAUUGGACAAUGGCCGGAAGGCUGAUCCAGCCAUGCCGCGUGCGGGACGACGGCCCUAUGGGUUGUAAACCGCUUUUGCGGGGGAGCAAUAAGAGUCACGUGUGGCUCGAUGAGAGUACCCUGCGAAUAAGCAUCGGCUAACUCCGUGCCAGCAGCCGCGGUAAUACGGAGGAUGCAAGCGUUAUCCGGAUUUAUUGGGUUUAAAGGGUGCGCAGGCGGCUUGUUAAGCGGGAGGUGAAAUGCCGGCGCUCAACGUCGGAAGUGCCUCCCGAACUGGUGAGCUUGAAUGACUCUGCCGUGGGAGGAAUGUGUAGUGUAGCGGUGAAAUGCUUAGAGAUUACACAGAACACCGAUUGCGAAGGCAUCUCACGAAGGGUUGAUUGACGCUGAGGCACGAAAGCGUGGGGAUCAAACAGG
RNAcentral lists this ribosomal RNA (425 nucleotides) under uncultured rumen bacterium. RNAcentral's name for it is "bacterial SSU rRNA". It matches the Rfam family "Bacterial small subunit ribosomal RNA", at positions 354 to 776 of the family's 1533-position model. The record is from RNAcentral.